This 494-nucleotide ribosomal RNA is filed under the name uncultured bacterium. Its description in RNAcentral is "partial 16S ribosomal RNA". It matches the Rfam family "Bacterial small subunit ribosomal RNA", at positions 28 to 523 of the family's 1533-position model. The record is from RNAcentral.
GAUGAACGCUAGCGGCAGGCUUAACACAUGCAAGUCGAGGGGUAUUGGUUUUCGGACCAAGAGACCGGCGCACGGGUGCGUAACGCGUAUGCAAUCUACCUUUUGCAGAGGGAUAGCCCAGAGAAAUUUGGAUUAAUACCUCAUAGUAUAGUAGUUUCGCAUGAAACGACUAUUAAAGCUCCAACGGCAAAAGAUGAGCAUGCGUCCCAUUAGCUAGUUGGUAAGGUGACGGCUCACCAAGGCAACGAUGGGUAGGGGUCCUGAGAAGGAGAUCCCCCACGCUGGAACUGAGACACGGACCAGACUCCUACGGGAGGCAGCAGUGAGGAAGAUUGGACAAUGGGCGCAAGCCUGAUCCAGCCAUGCCGCGUGCAGGAUGACGGUCCUAUGGAUUGUAAACUGCUUUUGUACAGGAAGAAACACUCCCUCGUGAGGGGGCUUGACGGUACUGUAUGAAUAAGGAUCGGCUAACUCCGUGCCAGCCGCCGCCGUAA